CUAGCUCUUACCUCCUUUCCCAGGCAGGCCCUAGAAACUAGAGUUUUCCCAUGAAACCCAAAAGGACAAGGUUCAGCAAGCUUCAGGAUGGCUGAACUUGUGGGGUCCCAGGAGGGUGUGGUAGCCCAUGCCAUGCGUCUGUGCAUCUCUCCUCUAUGCUGAGCGAUCCUGAUUUGCAAUGUUUUGAAUCUUUCUUUGAGACUCUGGGUCUUUCAUCCACCACACGGAGACUGCUGGUCUUAGCCUUGGUAGGCAGUGGACUUAAGGAUGCUGCUCCAGGACCUGCCGUGUGCUCACGGGGACAACACUGUGGCAGGCAGUGGCCACCUCCAGGACAAUGGACACUGUGAGCUUCACUGUGGGAGAUGCAGAAGAUGCCACCAGCACCAGUGUCCCCGUCCUUGAAGGGUCCGACCAUGGGCAGGAAGGACACCUGGCCACUCUCCUCAGCACUCAUGGAGUUCAGCCUUCUCUCACCUUUGCUGGCACCCAGUUCCCGCCUGUCUCAU
Molecule: long non-coding RNA, 509 nt
Organism: Heterocephalus glaber (naked mole-rat)
Lineage: Eukaryota; Metazoa; Chordata; Mammalia; Rodentia; Bathyergidae
Source: Ensembl